Molecule: ribosomal RNA, 417 nt
Filed under: uncultured eukaryote
Lineage: Eukaryota
Description: SSU rRNA
Rfam family: Eukaryotic small subunit ribosomal RNA
Source: RNAcentral
CCAGCGGCUGCGGUAAUUCCAGCUCCAAUAGCGUAUAUUUAAGUUGUUGCAGUUAAAAAGCUCGUAGUUGGAUUUAGGGUGGGUCGCGGCGGUCCGCCUCUGGUGUGCACUGCUGCCGGCCCACCUUUCUGUCGGGGACGGGCUCCUGGGCUUCACUGUCCGGGACCCGGGCUCGGCGAGGUUACUUUGAGUAAAUUAGAGUGUUCAAAGCAGGCGUUCGCCCUGAAUACAUUAGCAUGGAAUAGCACGAUAGGACUCUGGCCUAUCUUGCUGGUCUGUAGGACCGGAGUAAUGAUUAAGAGGGACAGUCGGGGGCAUUCGUAUUUCAUUGUCAGAGGUGAAAUUCUUGGAUUUAUGAAAGACGAACUUCUGCGAAAGCAUUUGCCAAGGAUGUUUUCAUUGAUCAAGAACGAAAGU